AUCAUGGCUCAGAGUGAACGCUGGCGGCGUGCCUAAUACAUGCAAGUCGAACGGAAUUUAAAAGAGCUUGCUCUUUUAAAUUUUAGUGGCGCACGGGUGAGUAAUAUAUAGCUAAUCUGCCCCUUGCUGGAGGACAACAGUUAGAAAUGACUGCUAAUACUCCAUACUCCUUUUUACCAUAAGAUAAAUCGGGAAAGAAUUUCGGCAAGGGAUGAGACUAUAUCGUAUCAGCUAGUCGGUGGGGUAACGGCCUACCGAGGCUAUGACGCGUAACUGGUCUGAGAGGAUGAUCAGUCACAUUGGAACUGAGACACGGUCCAAACUCCUACGGGAGGCAGCAGUAGGGAAUAUUGCGCAAUGGGGGAAACCCUGACGCAGCAACGCCGCGUGGAGGAUGACACUUUUCGGAGCGUAAACUCCUUUUGUUAGGGAAGAAUAAUGACGGUACCUAACGAAUAAGCACCGGCUAACUCCGUGCCAGCAGCCGCGGUAAUACGGAGGGUGCAAGCGUUACUCGGAAUCACUGGGCGUAAAGGACGCGUAGGCGGAUUAUCAAGUCUCUUGUGAAAUCUAACGGCUUAACCGUUAAACUGCUUGGGAAACUGAUAAUCUAGAGUAAGGGAGAGGCAGAUGGAAUUCUUGGUGUAGGGGUAAAAUCCGUAGAUAUCAAGAAGAAUACCUAUUGCGAAGGCGAUCUGCUAGAACUUAACUGACGCUAAUGCGUGAAAGCGUGGGGAGCAAACAGGAUUAGAUACCCUGGUAGUCCACGCCCUAAACGGUGUAUACCGGUUGUUGCUGUGCUAGUCACGGCAGUAAUCCACCUAACGGAUUAAGUAUACCGCCUGGGGAGUACGGUCGCAAGAUUAAAACUCAAAGGAAUAGACGGGGACCCGCACAAGCGGUGGAGCAUAUGGUUUAAUUCGAAGAUACGCGAAGAACCUUACCCGGACUUGAUAUCUAACAAAUCAUCCAGAGAUGGAAGAGUGUCUGCUUGCAGAAAUGUUAAGACAGGUGCUGCACGGCUGUCGUCAGCUCGUGUCGUGAGAUGUUGGGUUAAGUCCCGCAACGAGCGCAACCCACGUCAUUAGUUGCUAACGGUUCGGCCGAGCACUCUAAUGAGACUGCCUUCGUAAGGAGGAGGAAGGUGUGGACGACGUCAAGUCAUCAUGGCCCUUAUGUCCGGGGCGACACACGUGCUACAAUGGCAUAUACAAUAAGACGCAAUAUCGUAAGAUGGAGCAAAUCUAAAAAAUAUGUCCCAGUUCGGAUUGGAGUCUGCAACUCGACUCCAUGAAGCCGGAAUCGCUAGUAAUCGUAGAUCAGCCAUGCUACGGUGAAUACGUUCCCGGGUCUUGUACACACCGCCCGUC
This 1370-nucleotide ribosomal RNA is filed under the name uncultured bacterium. Its description in RNAcentral is "bacterial SSU rRNA". It matches the Rfam family "Bacterial small subunit ribosomal RNA". The record is from RNAcentral.